Sphaerobolus stellatus SS14 is the source of this 89-nucleotide transfer RNA. It matches the Rfam family "tRNA". Rfam says of the family: Transfer RNA (tRNA) molecules are approximately 80 nucleotides in length. The record is from Rfam. NCBI's taxonomy places the organism in Eukaryota, Fungi, Basidiomycota, Agaricomycetes, Geastrales, Sphaerobolaceae.
UCUUAGGUAGUAUAGUGGUUAGUAUUCGCGCCUGUCAAAGACUAGACCCUAGCACGCGCGAGACCGGGGUUCAAUUCCCCGCCUGAGAG